UACGUAGGGAGCAAGCGUUGUCCGGAAUCAUUGGGCGUAAAGCGCGCGUAGGUGGCCCCAUAAGUCCGCUGUGAAAGUCCAAGGCUCAACCUUUGAAAGCCGGUGGAUACUGUGGGACUAGAGUACGGAAGAGGCGAGUGGAAUUCCUGGUGUAGCGGUGGAAUGCGCAGAUAUCAGGAGGAACACCAAUAGCGAAGGCAGCUCGCUGGGACGUUACUGACACUGAGGCGCGAAAGCGUGGGGAGCGAACAGG
This 253-nucleotide ribosomal RNA is filed under the name uncultured bacterium. RNAcentral's name for it is "partial 16S ribosomal RNA". It matches the Rfam family "Bacterial small subunit ribosomal RNA", at positions 524 to 776 of the family's 1533-position model. The record is from RNAcentral.